This 253-nucleotide ribosomal RNA is filed under the name uncultured bacterium. RNAcentral's name for it is "partial 16S ribosomal RNA". It matches the Rfam family "Bacterial small subunit ribosomal RNA", at positions 524 to 776 of the family's 1533-position model. The record is from RNAcentral.
UACGAACUGUGCGAACGUUAUUCGGAAUCACUGGGCUUAAAGGGUGCGUAGGCGGUUAUCUAAGUCAGGUGUGAAAUCUUCCGGCUCAACCGGAAAACUGCGCUUGAUACUGGAUGGCUAGAGUGAUGCAGGGGUAUGUGGAACUUCCGGUGGAGCGGUGAAAUGUGUAGAUAUCGGAAGGAACGCCAGCAGCGAAAGCGGCAUACUGGGCAUUUUCUGACGCUGAGGCACGAAAGCCAGGGGAGCGAACGGG